This 73-nucleotide transfer RNA is filed under the name Balamuthia mandrillaris. RNAcentral's name for it is "tRNA-Glu". It matches the Rfam family "tRNA". Rfam says of the family: Transfer RNA (tRNA) molecules are approximately 80 nucleotides in length. Their secondary structure includes four short double-helical elements and three loops (D, anti-codon, and T loops). Lineage: Eukaryota; Discosea; Longamoebia; Balamuthiidae. The record is from RNAcentral.
UAUCUCUUCGUUCAACCUGGUAGGACCUUGGAUUUUCGUUCCAAAGAUGUGGGUUCAAAUCCCACAGGGAGUA